RNAcentral lists this long non-coding RNA (986 nucleotides) under Vigna radiata. RNAcentral describes it as "long non-coding RNA (VRAD_LNC009425)". The record is from RNAcentral. Lineage: Eukaryota; Viridiplantae; Streptophyta; Magnoliopsida; Fabales; Fabaceae.
AUGGAAUUAACGAUCAUCUAAUUGUUUAAUUUUUUCAAAAAAUAAAAUAAGNAAGGAUGAAUAAAUAAGAAAAAUCAUUAGAAAUAGAAAGUACCUAUAUGAUUAAAUCAUAAAAGAAUAUUAAAUAAAUAACUACAGUGAAAAUUGGUUUUAAAUUUAUUUGGUAUCCUUAUUUAUUUUCUUUUUAUUUAUGUUAUUUCGGGGUAGGACAAGAAGCCUAAAGAAAUCCUAGAGUGACGAUUGGGGAUCAGGGUUACAUUCGAAGGCUCCUUCUUCCCUUUUAUUCUCUAUUUCAAACACACUUCCCCUGUCUCAUUUCUCAUUUUCCAUUGUGUUCCUCAAAUCUCUUUUCUCCACCGAAACCAUUCCUCCACGCUGCACCACUCGUCAGACAUAGCUUCGCUUCGUCAGUGUUUUUCGCUCACGCAUCAGCGCUUUGAGCACGCAUCACACAUUCUCUUAACACUUCAUUUCUUACAUUUCCUUCAUCGCCAAAAAACAUGUCGAAUUCCUUCAUCGCCAAAAAACAUGUCGCUCUCUGUCGAAGAGGUCUUCAUCUGCGAACUUCAGCGUAAGUUUUAAUUCAUCACAGAAUAGUCCGCUUCCUUCAUUUUUCACCCCUCGUCAUCUCUAAAUUUCGUUCUCCUCUCCAUUUUUCGAGUUCCUAAGCCCUAGAACAUCUAUUCCCUAGGUUUUUCUCCAUUUCCACCGAUUGAUUUCCAUUUUGCAUCGAUUAAACUACUUUCCACCGAACAAACUAGUAUUUCCACCGUUUAAUUUUGUGUUUGAACCGAUUAAUCGGUUCAUUGAGUUUCUUCACCUUUCUAGGGUUUCUUCGUGUCCAGAUUAGGGUUUUUUCUCAUCCUAAGGUUUUCAACCGAUUAGCCUAAGGUUUUAGAGUUUUUGUGAGUUAGUUCUCCUUCGAAUUAUCGUCAUCAUUCUGCUACGAUUCAUUCACCGGAGGGAGCUUCAAGAAGUCAACAUCA